Molecule: ribosomal RNA, 509 nt
Filed under: uncultured Flavobacterium sp.
Lineage: Bacteria; Pseudomonadati; Bacteroidota; Flavobacteriia; Flavobacteriales; Flavobacteriaceae
Description: bacterial SSU rRNA
Rfam family: Bacterial small subunit ribosomal RNA
Source: RNAcentral
GUUUGAUCCUGGCCAGGAUGAACGCUAGCGGCAGGCUUAACACAUGCAAGUCGAGGGGUAUAUGUCUUCGGAUAUAGAGACCGGCGCACGGGUGCGUAACGCGUAUGCAAUCUACCUUUUACAGGGGGAUAGCCCAGAGAAAUUUGGAUUAAUACCCCAUAGUAUACAGAGUUGGCAUCAGCCUUGUAUUAAAGUCACAACGGUAAAAGAUGAGCAUGCGUCCCAUUAGCUAGUUGGUAAGGUAACGGCUUACCAAGGCUACGAUGGGUAGGGGUCCUGAGAGGGAGAUCCCCCACACUGGUACUGAGACACGGACCAGACUCCUACGGGAGGCAGCAGUGAGGAAUAUUGGACAAUGGGCGCAAGCCUGAUCCAGCCAUGCCGCGUGCAGGAUGACGGUCCUAUGGAUUGUAAACUGCUUUUGUACGAGAAGAAACACUGCUUGGUGAAGCAGCUUGACGGUAUCGUAAGAAUAAGGAUCGGCGGACUCCGUGCCAGCAGCGCGGUAC